RNAcentral lists this long non-coding RNA (594 nucleotides) under Pongo abelii (Sumatran orangutan). RNAcentral's name for it is "lincRNA". The record is from RNAcentral. Lineage: Eukaryota; Metazoa; Chordata; Mammalia; Primates; Hominidae.
UAAGAAACAAAAUGCUGAGUAACAACAUGAAGUCAGAGUGUUGCUUGCCAAGAGCUGGGAGGCCUGGGUGGUUUCCCAAUCUUAAAGAAGCAGAAGGAUAUUAAAGUGAGCCUCCCAAAGGAAAACGUGGAUCUACUUACCAACGCAGAAAAUGAUACACAGGGAUUCGAUUUAGGCUGGAGUACAGUAACUGCAACCUCCACCUCCCAGGUUCCAGUGAUUGUCAUGGCUCAGUCUGCCAAGGAGCUGGGAUUACAGGCACGCUACAUUCAAAUGACUUGGAAGAGCAGGUUCUCUGAGCCAGGAUACUAAAGUCCCUGUUUAGGAAAGAGCCACAUUGUAUGUUUACCCUACCACAAAAAUACAGUCAUGUGCCUGGGAAAGGUUGAUCCCAGCUCCAGAAAGUCGUCUGAAUGGUCUAAGUAAUGUCAUCCAUCUGUCAGUAAUAGAUUCAGAAAUGGGUAUGUGAUUCAAGUCUGGCCAAUGAGAUGUAUGCAGAAGAGUGCUGGGUAUUCUGGAAAGUUAUCCCUUGUCAUUCAGAGAUCCACAGGAAUCCAGCCUUUUGCUCCCUGAAUGGGAUAAGGAAGCACAUAA